CGGCAAAGGGGUGAAGGCGGAGGAGGUAGUGCCUGGCGCGGUGCCCUGCAGCUGGUGGCGGGUGGGGCCGGCGGGCGGGCUGCCGCUUUCCCCUGUCGACGGAGGCUGCUGACGGGAAAACGAUACGGGAGGGAGCGCCUCGGCCCAGGUCCCUUCCCCUGAAAACCUGCGGGAUUUCAGGGCCGAGUAAGCCAAGCAGAAGAUCUGGGCAGUGUUAACAAACGGACGUUGAGAUUUGCAGAGAUCAGCCUUCGAGGCCUCUGUCUGCACGCCGCUGGCUCUGUGACCUCUGGCGUGGCACAGCCUGGCCUCAGUUUCCCCACCCUUCUAGAGGGCUUGCGGCUUGCGAGUGGCCCCGAAGAAAAGAGUUAACGUCACAAAUACUACCAGCCUAAUCUUCCGCGAACAGGUGGACUGGUCGAGGCCCCAGCACCUCAUCGGCAGGAUUGCACCCGGCGUAGUGAAGCGCUGGCCUAGAGAGGAAGGUAUAUGAUACGGUCAGCCCUCCAAUCCUUGGAUGUGGAGCCUGUGGCUACGGAACCCGUGUAAAUGGAGGGCCGAUUGUACUCCUUAUGCAAAGGACAUGAGCACCCGCGGAUUUUGCUGUCCACGGGGGUCCCCAUGGACACCGAAGGGUAGCAAGUUGCAGGUCCCCCAGGGAAAGUGCAGGAGUGGGAGCCUUACCAUGUGCUACGGUGCUCGUGACAGUCUGCUUGGCAGUCACUUACCGAGAAGAAUGAAUGGCUGGCUACUGUAUAAACCCUCCCCCAUAUCUGUUCAAGUAGUUCUCAGUUACCAUUAAUCAGAAUAAUGGUUCUUAAACUUUGGCGUGCACCAGAACCACCUAGAAGGCUCCUUAAAACACAGAUCCAAGGGCCCACAAACAGAGUUUCCGACUCAGGAGGCCCAGGGUAGGGCUGGUUCAACUGAAGAGGCUCUUCUAAGAAAGACAACUGAGAUCAUGAGUCACCUCCUCAGAGAAAGUCCACUGAGGUAGAGUUUUGUUUACCAUGUAAACAACGCAACAUUUAUUGUUGAACCCCUUAUUCUUUUACAGCCAGACUAGAGAAUUGCCAUUUUUUGGGUUUUUUUUGGUGGGGGCAUGAGGGUCAAAGAAAGGGUCAUGGGCGAGAAGAUGGGUCCUGGGAAGAUGGACCUGUAAGCCACAGAAUCCCCUCGGGGAAGAUUCAGGAAGGCAAAGACUGUCCUUUCAACUCAAAUGUCAAAUGCGUUCCCACUUAUCUUACCAAGCAAGACGACAAACUGGAUUUUCCCAGAGUGCCUGGCGAUGCUUAGGUGACAGGAGUGACUGAGCGGCAGGCCUGGAGACAGAUUCUUGGCCACCCCAUGUAUCCAAACCUCCCCAUGUAUCCAAACCCCCAGAAAAUGCCUGGAAGAGAGCGGAAGGGGAGGACUGAAGAUAAUCCUUAACUUUUCUAAAGCAGGAAUAUAUUACCCUCAAUAAACUUUAAAUAUUUGCCCCUCUUGUGAGUUAGGGUGACUAUUUGCAUUGAAGAAGAAGAAAAUAAUCUUUAGAGCUCACUUUUCUAAGAUCGUGGAAAACAAACAAAACGCAGAAUCCAUUGCUUUGGGCGAAAAACAGUGAUAAUAACUCUAAGUACGCUCAAUGACUCCAGAAUUGUCAUUUAUAGUAUCGAUUAUACAUUAAAAAAAAAGAAACUAAAUUGAAAAAAUAGAUUCCAAAGGUAAGAAGAUUGAGGGUUGGGGGCUAGAGGGACGAACAGGUAGAGCACAGAGGACUUGCAGGGCAGUGAACCUAUUCUGUUUGCUGCUGUAAUAGUGGAUCCAUGUCAUUAUACAUUUGUCAAAAGCUACAGAAUGUACAACGCCAAGAGUGAAUCCUAACGUAAACUACUGUCUUUAGUUAAUAAUGAUGUAUCUAGGUUCGUUUAUCGAUUGUAGUAACUACACCACAGUAAUACAGAAGUUAAUAACGGGAACCGGCGGGUAAGGUGGGGAGAAGGGGGCAUACGGGAACUCAGUCCUUUCCGCUCCGUGUUUCCUGUAAAAAAUAAAACCUUUUUAAAAAAAUGGA
This is a long non-coding RNA of Eubalaena glacialis (North Atlantic right whale), 2056 nucleotides long. RefSeq lists it as uncharacterized. The record is from RefSeq and is a predicted model, not a curated record. The transcript is spliced from 5 exons. NCBI's taxonomy places the organism in Eukaryota, Metazoa, Chordata, Mammalia, Artiodactyla, Balaenidae.